GGGGGCGAACUAGGUUCGACGGAGGUCGUGUGGGCAAGGAUUGCGAGCCGAGAGCCCGCGAGCUCGUAAAACCGCGGGAAAAGCACAACUGCCAACACUGAAUUGGCAAUAGCCGCCUAGGGCGGCUCGUCCGGCCGGGCUUCUCCUGUGGGACCGGUGCAGGGCGUCAAAGACAUAGGAUACCUCGGGCCGGAAGGCCGCGCACGGCUGAGGGAAUAAAAGAGGCUAGCGCCCAAGGACCCGUUCCCCGGGGGCCGGACGGCGCGAAAACCAAAGCGGGGAAUACGCUCGUAGAAGUCUUUGCUGGCAGGCUUUCGGACAGCGGUGCAACUCCGCUCGCCUCCACCA
RNAcentral lists this transfer-messenger RNA (348 nucleotides) under Firmicutes bacterium RBG_13_65_8. It matches the Rfam family "transfer-messenger RNA". Rfam says of the family: Bacterial tmRNA, also known as 10Sa RNA or SsrA, is named for its dual tRNA and mRNA-like properties. Its role is to liberate the mRNA from a stalled ribosome. Lineage: Bacteria; Bacillati; Bacillota. The record is from RNAcentral.